Molecule: long non-coding RNA, 570 nt
Organism: Cyprinus carpio (common carp)
Lineage: Eukaryota; Metazoa; Chordata; Actinopteri; Cypriniformes; Cyprinidae
Exons: 3
Source: RefSeq, a predicted model, not a curated record
AGAAAGUUAGUCCUCAAAAGAGGACCAGUGGGAAGAAUGCGUCUGGAGCCCUGAAUUGUCCAGCUCCCCCUCACCUGCGGUAAAAAUGAUCUGGCGCAGCUGGUACGGUACAUCGAUGUAUUUUUGAAAAGGGAAAGGGUUUUGCAAAACUGUCUUAUGUCCACUUUUAACAUGAAGGGGGGUGGUACACUGCGCAGAAGGCAGCAUUUGAGAAGACCACUCUGUUCUCGGUCGUCAUUACAGAUGCCGUGAUGACCAAUUUCCCAACGGCAACUGAAUUAGAAUUGAGGAAUGCCAUCGGGCAGCAUUUUAAACAAGCACCAGGGAGAGCGGGGGUGGGGAAUAGAAAUAAAAAUAACAUUUAAUCACUUCACUCUUGAUAGUUUGUCUCAUGAUUUGUAUUGGAUUUAAUAUUUUUCUAUGUCAUAAGUUGUCCGAAUAUUGGUUGUCCUUUUAUUACAAAUUUUUCUAAAGAAGUUAAAAUCUUUCUUACUUAGCUACUUACUUUUAAUGUAAUUACAUUGUUUAUAUACUUACUUUUAAUGUAAUUACAUUGUUUAUAUUUUGUUA